Molecule: long non-coding RNA, 469 nt
Organism: Oppia nitens
Lineage: Eukaryota; Metazoa; Arthropoda; Arachnida; Sarcoptiformes; Oppiidae
Exons: 3
Source: RefSeq, a predicted model, not a curated record
UUAAUAAUAACUUUGAGUUUACAUAUAUUAUUAGUUUAGACAAACUGUAUCAUUAAAUACAUACACAAACACAUGCAUAAAGUGAGAAUUAUUAAUACAAAACAAAAAUUAAUAAAUGCUUAAAUAAAUGGCAACUAAUUUUUAAGUGUGAUUACAACAACAUUUUUAAUUACAUCAACAAAUGUUUUUAUUUAGAUUUUAAACUGUUUUUAUUAAUUUUUUAUAAAAAAAUAUUAUUCACCGUUUAUAACCAAAUUAUAGUUUGGUGUUAUGAAUUGUCAUAAUCAUCAAAUUCAUUGGCAAACAUCAUCAUUAUUAACAUUAGACAGUUUGCAUAUAAUUCAUUGCAUAUAUUCAACGGAAUCGUUAUCUUUUAAAUACUUUCAAAAACUUGAAUUACGACUAAUUAGUAAAAUAAGAAAACGUUUUAAAUAGUGUGUCAACUAAUAUAUAUAUAUAUAUAUAAUAU